AUUGAACGCUGGCGGCAGGCCUAACACAUGCAAGUCGAGCGGAUGAAGGGAGCUUGCUCCUGGAUUCAGCGGCGGACGGGUGAGUAAUGCCUAGGAAUCUGCCUGGUAGUGGGGGAUGACGUCCGGAAACGGGCGCUAAUACCGCAUACGCCCUGAGGGAGAAAGUGGGGGAUCUUCGGACUUCACGCUAUCAGAUGAGCCUAGGUCGGAUUAGCUAGUUGGUGGGGUAAAGGCCUACCAAGGCGACGAUCCGUAACUGGUCUGAGAGGAUGAUCAGUCACACUGGAACUGAGACACGGUCCAGACUCCUACGGGAGGCAGCAGUGGGGAAUAUUGGACAAUGGGCGAAAGCCUGAUCCAGCCAUGCCGCGUGUGUGAAGAAGGUCUUCGGAUUGUAAAGCACUUUAAGUUGGGAGGAAGGGCAGUAAGUUAAUACCUUGCUGUUUUGACGUUACCAACAGAAUAAGCACCGGCUAACUUCGUG
This 484-nucleotide ribosomal RNA is filed under the name uncultured bacterium. Its description in RNAcentral is "partial 16S ribosomal RNA". It matches the Rfam family "Bacterial small subunit ribosomal RNA", at positions 30 to 507 of the family's 1533-position model. The record is from RNAcentral.